GACGAACGCUGGCGGCGUGCUUAACACAUGCAAGUCGAACGGAAAGGCCCUGCUUUUGUGGGGUGCUCGAGUGGCGAACGGGUGAGUAACACGUGAGUAACCUGCCCUUGACUUUGGGAUAACUUCAGGAAACUGGGGCUAAUACCGGAUAGGAGCUCCUGCUGCAUGGUGGGGGUUGGAAAGUUUCGGCGGUUGGGGAUGGACUCGCGGCUUAUCAGCUUGUUGGUGGGGUAGUGGCUUACCAAGGCUUUGACGGGUAGCCGGCCUGAGAGGGUGACCGGCCACAUUGGGACUGAGAUGCGGCCCAGACUCCUACGGGAGGCAGCAGUGGGGAAUAUUGCACAAUGGGCGGAAGCCUGAUGCAGCAACGCCGCGUGCGGGAUGACGGCCGUCGGGUUGUAAACCGCUUGCGCCUGUGACGAAGCGUGAGUGACGGUAAUGGGUAAAGAAGCACCGGCUAACUACGUG
This 468-nucleotide ribosomal RNA is filed under the name uncultured bacterium. RNAcentral's name for it is "partial 16S ribosomal RNA". It matches the Rfam family "Bacterial small subunit ribosomal RNA", at positions 28 to 507 of the family's 1533-position model. The record is from RNAcentral.